AUUUGGCAGUGAAAAUUAGCCACCCUUGCAGAAAGUCUGUUACAAUAGUCUCAUCAGCCAGGAAAUGCACAAUCUUAUAAUUGGAGGAGCUGAUUCAAAGCCCAAGGAAGCUGUUGAGUGAAAUAGCGAUAUGGUUCAGCACUUCCCCAGAGCUUAAAAGCCAUGUACAUACCAUGAAGAACAAGAUGAGAAUUCUUCUCUUCCAGGUUACAAAGGAAAGAGGCAUUCAGCAAGGCUGUCCUUGCUUUCCACAAAUCUCACAGCAACUUGCCAUGAAAUUGUUCAGAAAGGGGCCUGAGAGCUGAUGCACGGAGGCUUGAGAAGCAGCUUGUCUGUUGUUGCAGACUGAGCCCUCUGCUUUUGGGAACUUACCAGGAUGCUGAUAAAUGGCUGUCACCCCUUAUUGGACAUGAAUUCACUGUAUCUGUGUAAAUAAGG
Long non-coding RNA from Pipra filicauda (Wire-tailed manakin), 438 nucleotides. RefSeq lists it as uncharacterized. The transcript has 6 exons. The record is from RefSeq and is a predicted model, not a curated record. Lineage: Eukaryota; Metazoa; Chordata; Aves; Passeriformes; Pipridae.